Molecule: small RNA, 29 nt
Filed under: Bombyx mori (domestic silkworm)
Lineage: Eukaryota; Metazoa; Arthropoda; Insecta; Lepidoptera; Bombycidae
Description: ovarian small RNA-18727
Source: RNAcentral
UAACCAUCAGAGUUUGGACCUGCCACGAC